AGGACGAACGCUGGCGGCGUGCCUAACACAUGCAAGUCGAACGAGGCCAUUCCUUCGGGAGUGAGUCGAGUGGCGGACGGGUGAGUAACACGUGAGCAAUCUACCCUUGUGCGGGGGAUAACCCGGGGAAACCCGGGCUAAUACCGCAUGUUUCGAGAGAGUGGAGUCACUCGUUUUGGGAACGUGGCCUCUUUACAA
This 198-nucleotide ribosomal RNA is filed under the name uncultured soil bacterium. RNAcentral describes it as "partial 16S ribosomal RNA". It matches the Rfam family "Bacterial small subunit ribosomal RNA", at positions 26 to 222 of the family's 1533-position model. The record is from RNAcentral.